GUAGGUGAACCUGCGGAAGGAUCAUUAUCACGUAAUAAUCCACGUUAUAAACCCUUCUUUGAAUUGUUUAAACUACUAAAUUUCUGGAACAGCUUUCGUAGCUGGAAUGCUUUUGGAUUGGGAUAUGGAAAUUUUAACAGAACACUGUUUGGUAAAUUUAUUUAUCAAACUGAAAUGGGAAAAUUAUUGUAAUUUGAGAUCCAAGAGUACUGUUAAUAGUUCAUAACCAGCAAUUCGCUAGCGUCUAAGA
RNAcentral lists this unclassified non-coding RNA (250 nucleotides) under plant metagenome. Its description in RNAcentral is "partial contains small subunit ribosomal RNA, internal transcribed spacer 1, and 5.8S ribosomal RNA". The record is from RNAcentral.